This 616-nucleotide ribosomal RNA is filed under the name Saccharomyces cerevisiae (brewer's yeast). Its description in RNAcentral is "eukaryotic LSU rRNA". It matches the Rfam family "Eukaryotic large subunit ribosomal RNA", at positions 38 to 667 of the family's 3401-position model. The record is from RNAcentral. Lineage: Eukaryota; Fungi; Ascomycota; Saccharomycetes; Saccharomycetales; Saccharomycetaceae.
GCAUAUCAAUAAGCGGAGGAAAAGAAACCAACCGGGAUUGCCUUAGUAACGGCGAGUGAAGCGGCAAAAGCUCAAAUUUGAAAUCUGGUACCUUCGGUGCCCGAGUUGUAAUUUGGAGAGGGCAACUUUGGGGCCGUUCCUUGUCUAUGUUCCUUGGAACAGGACGUCAUAGAGGGUGAGAAUCCCGUGUGGCGAGGAGUGCGGUUCUUUGUAAAGUGCCCUCGAAGAGUCGAGUUGUUUGGGAAUGCAGCUCUAAGUGGGUGGUAAAUUCCAUCUAAAGCUAAAUAUUGGCGAGAGACCGAUAGCGAACAAGUACAGUGAUGGAAAGAUGAAAAGAACUUUGAAAAGAGAGUGAAAAAGUACGUGAAAUUGUUGAAAGGGAAGGGCAUUUGAUCAGACAUGGUGUUUUGUGCCCUCUGCUCCUUGUGGGUAGGGGAAUCUCGCAUUUCACUGGGCCAGCAUCAGUUUUGGUGGCAGGAUAAAUCCAUAGGAAUGUAGCUUGCCUCGGUAAGUAUUAUAGCCUGUUGGGAAUACUGCCAGCUGGGACUGAGGACUGCGACGUAAGUCAAGGAUGCUGGCAUAAUGGUUAUAUGCCGCCCGUCUUGAAACACGGACC